Molecule: ribosomal RNA, 253 nt
Filed under: uncultured bacterium
Lineage: Bacteria
Description: partial 16S ribosomal RNA
Rfam family: Bacterial small subunit ribosomal RNA
Source: RNAcentral
GACAGAGGAUGCAAGCGUUAUCCGGAAUGAUUGGGCGUAAAGCGUCUGUAGGUGGCUUUUUAAGUCUGCCGUCAAAUCCCAGGGCUUAACCCUGGACAGGCGGUGGAAACUACCAAGCUGGAGUACGGUAGGGGCAGGGGGAAUUUCCGGUGGAGCGGUGAAAUGCGUAGAGAUCGGAAAGAACACCAACGGCGAAAGCACUCUGCUGGGCCUGCACUGACACUGAGGGACGAAAGCUAGGGGAGCGAAAGGG